GUGUCAGCAGCCGCGGUAAUACGGAGGGUGCGAGCGUUAAUCGGAAUUACUGGGCGUAAAGCGUGCGUAGGCGGAUGCUUGAGUCGGAUGUGAAAGCCCCGGGCUUAACCUGGGAAUUGCAUCCGAUACUGGGCGUCUAGAGUGUGGUAGAGGGGGGUAGAAUUCCUGGUGUAGCGGUGAAAUGCGUAGAUAUCAGGAGGAAUACCGGUGGCGAAGGCGACCCCCUGGACCAACACUGACGCUGAGGUACGAAAGCGUGGGUAGCAAACAGGAUUAGAAACCCUGGUAGUCC
Molecule: ribosomal RNA, 292 nt
Filed under: uncultured bacterium
Lineage: Bacteria
Description: partial 16S ribosomal RNA
Rfam family: Bacterial small subunit ribosomal RNA
Source: RNAcentral